Molecule: long non-coding RNA, 1627 nt
Organism: Chelonoidis abingdonii (Abingdon island giant tortoise)
Lineage: Eukaryota; Metazoa; Chordata; Testudines; Testudinidae
Source: RefSeq, a predicted model, not a curated record
UGUUAUCAAGCGCCGGGGAAGGGAGGGGCUGGAAGGAGGAAGCUCUUAAAGGGCCCGCGCCUAACGCUGGAGCCCCCUGCAGGACAGCUCAGGAACUGCAGGCUCGCGAGAGACGUCAAAAUGGGGGCCAGCCCCACGUGCCCCACCUGGCCCAAGGGCCUGGACUCAGUCUUAAGAUGUGCUGGAACUACGUUCUCACAUUUUUGGUUCCUUCCAAUGAAUGAUUCUGUCCAGCACAAGGAUCCACACAUGCACCCAAAAUAACAAGAAAUAAGGCCUGGUAUGAUCUCAUGCUUCCAAUAUAGAUGCCAUGGCAGAGAGUCACUAACCUCCCUCUGAAGCCUUCAACUUUGGGCCUGGAAACCCAAAUUAUUCUGAAGAGCUCAAGGAGAGGCAGGAAUUUCAGGUGAUGUCUCAGUGAUGACAACCAACCCUCCAGGUCCCUCCCUGCAGCCCAGCAAGUUCCCCCAUCCCUGUCCCUCAUAUAAAAGCAGUUGAGACCACAGAGGGUGUAUUCUGUCAUAGGACAUACAAGGAGAUGAUGACUGGCUGUUAGAGCAUUUGGUUUCUUGUUUGUCAUGGAAGAGAGGAAUGGAUGAAUUGUUCCAGUGUCCAUUAAAAUUUCUGUUGCCUGCUGUGUAGUGUCUUCUACGAAGGAGAUGAACCUGCUGCAAAUGAAAUCAGUUGAGGCUGCAUUGUAUUUAUAGAGCAACAGAAAUCUUUGUAGAUUAUUUUUUCCAAGAAUCAUGAAUCUCCUUCAGUGUUACAAGUCACUGUAAUCAAUUAAUAGGAGCCAUAUUUUCAUUUUCAAUUAAAAUAUAGGCCAUGCACAGUCUAUGAGCAUCCUGGCAGAUGUUUAAAAGCGUUGGCUCUCAGUGGUGAAAUGUUACCUUAUAUCUGUUGGGGGUGGUGAGAGGGUGUUCCAGGAAUGGAAAGACAUGUUAAAGUGCAGCAUUUCAGACUGUCUUCUUUUCUGAAUUUACAGCAUCAGACUGACAGUUGUUUAAAUGAAUGAUAGACUGCAAUACUCUUUUCCAAGCAGGCUAUGAAAUGAGGGAGCCUUCAGUUUUGUGCUGAUGUGUCCAGAAUUCAAAUAAUUUGUUUCUUGAAUAUAAUGACAAUCGGAAGCAUGGUAUUACCUUGAGAAAAGAGAUGGGAGAGACAGCUGCAGUACCCUGUACUCAUGAAAGAUAUUGCGUUAGCAACUGCUUCCCAAUUAGUCUCUCUACUGAAAACUCUAUUAUGCUGGGCUCUUAUUGCUUUUAUUCAAGGGCACAAAAUUACAAAGCGAUAUUGCUGGCAAUACUCUCAUCUUUCUACCAUGACACUGAAUAAUUGGACAAUGAAAGAAAAUGUUCAAUGAUGCUGAUAUUAAACACAUGUAUAGGACAAUGCAUUUGAACAUCAGCUGACGAAGUAAUGUCCAUAUUAUUAUGCUACUACUUCUACUACUUUGAAAUCACUUGUUUUCAUUUUUGUUGUUGGUGAUGGAACAUUUUAUUUUCCCGUUAUUGCUGGAGACAUGCUCUGUUUUAAGGAAUAUACUUGUGAAAGGGAUAUGUGUGAGAUGCUUCCCAAGUUAACCCCCUCACUGUAUUGGUGCUUUCUAUUAAAGGAGUUGGACGUC